GCCGAUGUGACUCAAUUGGUAGAGUAACUGAUUUGUAAUCAGUCUGUUGCAGGUUCAAGUCCUGUCAUCGGCUCCA
This 76-nucleotide transfer RNA is filed under the name Caudoviricetes sp. Its description in RNAcentral is "tRNA-Thr". It matches the Rfam family "tRNA". From Rfam's summary of the family: Transfer RNA (tRNA) molecules are approximately 80 nucleotides in length. The record is from RNAcentral. Lineage: Duplodnaviria; Heunggongvirae; Uroviricota; Caudoviricetes.